UACGGAGGGUGCAAACGUUGCUCGGACUUACUGGGCGUAAAGGGAGCGUAGGCUGUCUAUCAAGUCAGAUGUGAAAGCCCAGGGCUCAACCCUGGAAUUGCAUUUGAUACUGAUAGGCUAGAGUGCAUUAGAGGAGAGUAGAAUUCCUGGUGUAGCAGUGAAAUGCGUUGAGAUCAGGAGGAAUACCAGUGGCGAAGGCGACUCUCUGGGAUGCAACUGACGCUGAGGCUCGAAAGCGUGGGGAUCAAACAGG
Molecule: ribosomal RNA, 253 nt
Filed under: uncultured bacterium
Lineage: Bacteria
Description: partial 16S ribosomal RNA
Rfam family: Bacterial small subunit ribosomal RNA
Source: RNAcentral